Molecule: long non-coding RNA, 1095 nt
Organism: Heterocephalus glaber (naked mole-rat)
Lineage: Eukaryota; Metazoa; Chordata; Mammalia; Rodentia; Bathyergidae
Source: Ensembl
AGUAUGUAGGCCUGGUCCUCUUGUUGUUAUCUUGAGGCCUGGCCUCCAGCUGGCGUGUUUCUGGCCACAUUUGUAGUGUCUUUUUACGUUUUGUCCUGAGCUUUGGAGGGCUCAGCCCUGUCUGGCUCCCUACAGUACUUCACCUAACUUAGCUGUCUAUAACACUACCACACGGCUGCAUGAAGCCGGGGAAUGGGAUACAGGCCCUUGCCGAGAGGCGUGCUCUCUGCUUUCUACUCCACGAGGUUGCAGCGCUUCUUCUCUCCUGGAGGACGGAGCUACAAGGUGUCAACUUGGAAGCACAAAACCAGCCUUGGCAGACACUGAACCAGCUGGCACCUUGAUCCUGGAUUCCCCAGCUCCAGAACUGUGAGAAAACAAGUCUAUGUUUUGUGUAAAUCACCUAGCAUCGUGUGUUCUGUUGGAACAGUACAAACCAGGGGUCUCGUGUCUUCUGCUGACACACAGGAAAUGGUGGCAGGCCAAGGGGUGAACUUGCAUGCAGAGCAUGACCUCAGCUUCUGCGAAGUUCUUGGCAGUUACUAUGAGGAAGCGCCCAGCUACAGAAUAACUCCAGUUUGGCCUCCGGUCACAACUGAGACUUCAGUGAUCCAGUGAUGCUGUGAUUCUCCAGGACAAGAAACAUCCUGGGAGAACAAACAUCUGCUCAGUUCCUCGUUGUUCUUGGACUGUUAACAUCUUGUUUACAGGAGAUGUACAGAACUCUCUGCAAGCCUUUUGUUACACCUUGUUUGUUCCAAUGUGAACUACUGAACUCUCUGCAAGUCAUCUGUUACAUUUGUUUCUCCCUAUGUACUGAAUUCUCUGCAAGUCAUUUUGUUAGGAGGUACUGAAUAAAAGGUGUGGUAAGCUGGGGGCUUUGGUCUUUGCCGCCCAGAGCAGCACUGAUCAGACCCAAAGCUCAGUUUCUUCUCAGUCUCAUUUUUCUACCUUUCCUGUAAUUCACCAUGUGCUGCCAUGGCUCACAGGAGACCAGGACUCACUGCAGAGGUUCUGGUAACGUCCCCUUCCCCUGUCCCCUACAGAGACUUAAAAUAUAGAGUCUGCCCAAAAAAUGGACCCACACAUCAGCAG